AAGAUGAGUUCCAUGGCAGUAGGAGAUAGGCCUCAUGUUGUAUGUCUUCCAGUUCCACUUCAAAGCCAUAUCAAGGCAAUGCUUAAGUUAGCAAAACUCUUCCACCAUAGAGGUUUUCAUGUGACCUUUGUCAACACAGAGUUCAACCACAAGCGCUUUCUUCAAUCUCUUGGACCCAACUCCCUUGAUGGCUUGCCUGAUUUUCGAUUCGAAACCUUCCCAGACGGUCUUCCAGUCAGUUCAGAUGAGGAUACUUCCCAGGACAUCUUUUUGCUUUUUAAUUCAAUGCGCGAUAACUUCUUGCCUCUGUUUCUUAACCUCCUAAAAGAACUCAAUGACAGAGCAGCUUCCGGCAAUACCAACCCUCCAGUGUCUUGUAUUGUUUCUGAUGGUUUGAUGCCGUUCCCCAUCACAGCUGCCGAAGAACUUGGAAUUCCUAUUGCAAUGUUCUUUACUAUUUCUGCAGGCGGCUUCAUGGGCUCUAAACAAUAUCCUGCUUUGGUGGAGAAAGGACUUACACCACUCAAAGGUGAAAGAAACUAAUAUUGAAGCACUUGUUUACAUUUAUGAUUCUAUAUAUUGCUUGUUUCUAAAGAAUAGAUUUGGGUGCCUGAUCAAAGCUUAAUUUUUAGAUCAGAGCUAUUUCACAAAUGGCUUUUUGGACAAGGUGAUUGAUUGGAUUCCAGGAAUGAAAGGUAUCCAUUUACGGAAACUUCCGACAGUGUUUCACAUUACAAAUCCAGACAACAUCUUUUUUAAGCUCACAGUGGAAACAAUGGAUAGAGUAGAUAAAGCUUCAGCUGUUGUUCUUCUUACAUUUGAUGCAUUGGAACAAGAGAUUCUGGACGCUCUCUCAUCUAUGCUUAUCCCACCUAUUUAUACAAUUGGUCCUAUUGAAUUACUACUUGUCAAUCAGAUACCAGAAGACCCUUUGAAGUCUGUUGGCUAUAUUCUAUGGAAAGAAGAAACUGAGUGCCUCCAAUGGCUAAAUUCUAAAGAGCCAAACUCGGUUGUUUAUGUGAAUUUUGGCAGUCUAGCGGUCAUGACACCUGAACUUGUUGUUGAGUUUGGCUGGGGACUUGCAAAUACAAAUUAUCCCUUCUUGUGGGUAAUUAGGCCUGAUUUCGUUGUUGGUGAAUCGGCGAUUUUUCCACCUGAGUUUGUGGCUGAAACCAAGGGAAGAGGUGUAAUAGUAAAUUGGUGCCCACAAGAGCAAGUCCUUAACCACCCAUCAGUUGGAGGGUUUUUGACACACAGCGGCUGGAAUUCAACCAUUGAGAGUUUGUCUGCCGGAGUGCCUAUGAUCUGUUGGCCACUCUUCGCGGACCAGCCGACAAACAGCUGGUGUACUUGCAAUCAAUGGGGCAGUGGCAUGGAGAUGGAUAAGAAUGUCAAGAGAGAGGAAGUGGAGAAGAUUGUUAGAGAGUUAAUGGAGGGAGAGAAGGGUAAGAAAAUGAAAAGUAAGGCCAUUGAGUGGAAGAAGCUAGCAGAAGAAGCAACUGGUCCACAAGGUUCUUCAUCCACAAACUUGAACAAUUUAGUGAAUCAAAUGCUAUUAAGAAAAAUCUAGAUCUUAUAUCCAUAAGAAUGUGUUAAUUAAUUAAGUGUAUGUUAUUGCUGGUCUUAAUUUAGAACUAUAAAGAUGUCUUGCAAGAUCUGCAUUUGCAGUCCCUCCCUCUUUACCAUCUAUCUAUAAUUUCGUUUUGCUCAUGAACCAAUGCUUAGCUUGGUUCUUCUUUCUUUCUCAAUUUAAUAUUGAUAAACCAGAGAAAACUAAGAUUCUGACCAAAAAAAAAU
This 1797-nucleotide long non-coding RNA is filed under the name Prunus dulcis (almond). RNAcentral's name for it is "sRNA ncRNA". Lineage: Eukaryota; Viridiplantae; Streptophyta; Magnoliopsida; Rosales; Rosaceae. The record is from RNAcentral.